RNAcentral lists this ribosomal RNA (465 nucleotides) under uncultured bacterium. Its description in RNAcentral is "bacterial SSU rRNA". It matches the Rfam family "Bacterial small subunit ribosomal RNA", at positions 329 to 792 of the family's 1533-position model. The record is from RNAcentral.
UGCCAGACUCCUACGGGAGGCAGCAGUGAGGAAUAUUGGUCAAUGGUCGGGAGACUGAACCAGCCAAGCCGCGUGAGGGAGGAAGGUACAGAGUAUCGUAAACCUCUUUUGUCAGGGAACAAAGACUGGGACGCGUCCCCGGAUGAGUGUACCUGAAGAAAAAGCAUCGGCUAACUCCGUGCCAGCAGCCGCGGUAAUACGGAGGAUGCGAGCGUUAUCCGGAUUUAUUGGGUUUAAAGGGUGCGUAGGCGGGCAUUUAAGCCGGCGGUCAAAUGUCGGGGCUCAACCCCGUCGUGCCGUUGAAACUGAUGUUCUUGAGUGGGCGAGAAGUAUGCGGAAUGCGUGGUGUAGCGGUGAAAUGCAUAGAUAUCACGCAGAACUCCGAUUGCGAAGGCAGCAUACCGGCGCCCAACUGACGCUGAAGCACGAAAGCGUGGGUAUCGAACAGGAUUAGAUACCCGCGUA